CAGUUUUGUUGAACUGUGCUCAACCGACUCUUGCCAAAGGCUCAACAAGCCAAUAGGGAAGGCUGCCAGACCCAUCAGAUGACUGUCCAGUUCUGGCCAUACUAGGUGUCUCUGUGUUGCGGUGUGGUGGUGCCCAGGAACUUGAAACUGGGACUCUGCUAUAGCUGAGUCCACAGCCUGAAUGGCUGUAAGAAGCAUGGUACAAAAUGGUCCACCACUAUUGCAGGAACAUUCAUAUCAGCAUGAAGUUGUAACCCUGAAAAGGAAAAUCAGAAUACUUAUAUGGCAAUUGUUUGACUUCUCGUUAACAGGAGGAAUUAAAGAGGUACUGCACACAGUAUGUUCUUCAAAGACUACUUCCACCUUUUUGAAGAGGAUCUUGGCAGCGGAAUAUAUUCAUAUGAUUAAAUGGUACCGACAGAGAUGGAUAGGAACUCUAUGUAUCUGGAGUACCUUUAAAGAUGUUGGUCUGGAGAGGAAUGAUGACGGGGUUAAUCAUCAGGGAUGAAACAGAUUACCAGCUUUUGAACCAAUUUAAGUAGAACCUCCAGAAACAAAGCCAGGACAAAUAAUUAUUGGCAGUUCACAGAAGGCAUUCUGUGCCCACAGCUCUGCAGGAUACCGUUAAAGUCAGUUCACUUGUCUUAAUGGGAAACACCUGUGGUCUGGAACACAAGAUGAAAAAUCAAACUAACCAUGCCUGAGACAUUCAAAAUAAAUUCUGAAAAUAAAACUUCUCCUUCUGUCCC
RNAcentral lists this long non-coding RNA (749 nucleotides) under Anser brachyrhynchus (Pink-footed goose). RNAcentral's name for it is "lncRNA (ENSABRG00000018344.1)". Lineage: Eukaryota; Metazoa; Chordata; Aves; Anseriformes; Anatidae. The record is from RNAcentral.